GCUGGCGGCAGGCCUAACACAUGCAAGUCGAACGGAGUUAUAUUGUAGCUUGCUAUGGUAUAACUUAGUGGCAGACGGGUGAGUAAUGUAUAGGAAUCUACCUAGUAGUACGGAAUAAUUGUUGGAAACGGCAACUAAUACCGUAUACGCCCUACGGGGGAAAAAUUUAUUGCUAUUAGAUGAGCCUAUAUUAGAUUAGCUAGUUGGUGGAGUAAUAGCCUACCAAGGCAAUGAUCUAUAGCUGAUCUGAGAGGAUGAUCAGCCACACUGGAACUGAGAUACGGUCCAGACUCCUACGGGAGGCAGCAGUGGGGAAUAUUGGACAAUGGGCGAAAGCCUGAUCCAGCCAUGCCGCAUGAGUGAAGAAGGCCUUUGGGUUGUAAAGCUCUUUUAGUGAGGAAGAUAAUGACGGUACUCACAGAAGAAGUCCUGGCUAACUCCGUGCCAGCAGCCGCGGUAAUACGGAGAGGGCUAGCGUUAUUCGGAAUUAUUGGGCGUAAAGGGCGCGUAGGCGGAUUAGUAAGUUAAAAGUGAAAUCCCAAGGCUCAACCUUGGAAUUGCUUUUAAAACUGCUAAUCUAGAGAUUGAAAGAGGAUAGAGGAAUUCCUAGUGUAGAGGUGAAAUUCGUAAAUAUUAGGAGGAACACCAGUGGCGAAGGCGUCUAUCUGGUUCAAAUCUGACGCUGAGGCGCGAAGGCGUGGGGAGCCAAACGGAUUAGAUACCCUGGUAGUCCACGCUGUAAACGAUGAAUGUUAAAUAUGGGAAGUUUUACUUUCUGUAU
Molecule: ribosomal RNA, 781 nt
Filed under: uncultured bacterium
Lineage: Bacteria
Description: bacterial SSU rRNA
Rfam family: Bacterial small subunit ribosomal RNA
Source: RNAcentral